GAGUUCUUUCUAGGCCUCCCAGUGAUAGAUGAGGCCACGGCAUUGUGAAAACUGUCCACUCUAAAGGGUAGGGUUGAGGUGUGAGGUAGACAACUUGUAAGGUGAUUUCCAAGAUCUCUGCCUCCUGGUAUUCACAUCCUUGUGUGAGCACCUCUCUUGAACGUGGGCUGGACCUAGUGACCCACUUCUAGUUAACAGGAUAUGUGAAAAGGGAAGGGAUAUCAUUUCUGAGAUUAGUUUAUAAAAGAUAUGACUUCUGUCCUGAGUGCAACCUGUCUCCUGUUGUUUCCUUGCUUGCUUACAAGGAUGAAUCCUCCUGUCCUGUUGGGACCUGCCCUAUGGAGAGGGCCAUAGGACAAGCAAAUGGGGAUGAUUCCCAGCUGGUGAAGAACUGAGACCUUUAGUCCAGCAGUCCUUGUGGAGCUGAUUCCUGCCAGCAACCACGUGAGUGUGCUCAGAAGCAGAUUCUGUUCCCAGUUAAGCCUUAGAUGCCUGCAGCCCUUGAUAACACCUUGGCUACCUUCUGCGGGAGACCCUGAAACAGAAGACUCAGUUAAGCUGUGCCCAAAUAUUCCUGACCUAUGAAGCUGUGGGGCAAUACAUACUAGUUGCUUUCAUUCAGCCACUAUGCUUAGGGAGAAUUUAUGUGGCAACAAAUGACAUGAGGUAUGUGUGGAAACAGAAACAAUCCUUUUGUGUUGCUGUGGAGGUACAAGGUACCUGCUGUAGAGGCAGUCAGGAUACAGCGUGGCUCUGAGACCUUCUUUCCUGGCAAACAGCUGGUGGAAGUCGAGAAAAGGGAUCUCGCUGGGGUGGAUGUUCCUGCGGCCUGGACAUCAAGAUCUGUCAUGUAACAUAAAUCAGAGAAGAUCAAUGCUGCAGUUGUAGGGAGCUUUGCAGCACCAUUUCCACCAUGAUGGACCUCAAACUUCUCUUCUAUGGGAUACAUGGUUAGAAAACCACAGCUAUGGAGGAGGAAGAGGGCAAUAGAACCGUUUCUUGGAAGUGAUGCCUCUCAAAGCCUAAUUCUCUCAAGUCAAGCUAAGUCCCCAUUCCUUCUGGUUUGUCUCCACCUUUCUCCUCUGCAGAGCAGGCUGCACAGGCAUGGUCCCCCCCACAUGCAGACAUACCUCAUUCCUCAGGUCUGCCCUGUUACCAGUUUUGUCGUGCAUCUCGUGCUAAACUUACUUCUCAAAUGGAAAGCUGCCUCAAGGGCAGGGUGGCACGGUGGAGAGGGCAGGGGCUCUGCAUCUGACCUGUCUGACAUCUGAUCUUGGCCCUACUGGUUACUUGCUGGGCAGUCUUGGCGAAUUUGUUUAAUCUUUUUGAACUCUGGACUCAUCAGCAAGAAAAAGGGAAUGAUAAUAUGUACUUUACAGGGCGGUUCUGAAAAUUAAGCCAGACAAAGUGCUUGGGACGAGAGCCUGGGACGUUCUGACAGCAGUGUGGUUGUGGCUCGUGUCUGUGUUAUUUUUCUGAUUGUCUCCAUGCAGGGUCACAGUAGGAUUCACAUGGGGUCACUUAGGCUCUGCCCUGGCCGGCAAACACUGCACUCAUAGGUCCCCUCCUCAGAGCUCUCCAGCCCCAGGACAGAUUGGGGGUGAUAUCAGGCAGGAGGACUGUGCUGGGAUGUGACCCACUGGGAGGCCUCCAUGUGGGACAGAGCCAGAGGCAGCACCUGGGCCGUGACACCAGUGCCUGGGGACGUGGUUUGCCUGGGAGCCAGGUGGAGCUGAUCCUCCUUCUGGUGGGUGCUCUGUGCCUGAGGCAUAGCUGGGCUGCAGGGGGUGGAGGACUCCUCAUUCUGUCACUGCCACUCACAGGGCCUGGAGAGCUGUGUCUGUUUCUGGAACCUCUGAAUCACAGCCUCCUUGGGUUCUUCUGAAGGCACAUUGCACCUUCUAGAAGGGUAUGACUCAGAAGGAAAGAGAGAAAAACCUCUACUGGCAAGAGGAAAUGGCUGCAGUGUUUACUUUAUCUGAAAAUGGCACACGCUUUUAUUAAGACAUAAAUGCCAGUGAUGGAUUCUGCUCUUGGCGUGUGGCUGUGCUCCCCAGCCCUGAGGUGAGAUGGUCAGGAGAUGUGAGACCCUACAGAGAAAAUAUUUACCAUGCUGAGCUGUCAUGAGACAGAGUAAGUGGGCAGAGGGCAGCUGGUUCCUUUGACCACCUCAUUCUAGGGAAAAUAAACAGGGACCCUGGAGCAGUCACUAACAGAGGGGAGCAAGUAUCCUCUCUCUGCAGUAGAAUCUCUGAAAAUUCGGAUAACGUUAAUUGUGCCACUGUGGUGGCAGUGCAAGAAAUUCCUGUUCAUCCCGCUGCAAUGAUGAUUAAGGUAACAAACACCCAGUCGGGAAGUCAGGCUCCGGCCCUGGAGAAUAGUUGAGGAUCGCCUGUAGCAUAUUGUUCCACUCUGCUGGCAUCCUAACUAGACAGCUUUAGUUUUAGCAUAAAAUCCAUAUUCCAGACCUUUAUGGAGCAGAGAGGCAAACUCCAAUGCUGCCGUUGCAAGCAUCAAACAGCAUUAGAAUGAAUUAAGGAGAUUUAAGACUCUCGAUGCUGUCGGGGCUCUUCUCCAUCCCCUCUGUUUUCUCCAAGGAGCUGUUUUAAAGGCGUGGGGGGCAAAUUGGAAGAAGGGAGUGGGAAAAACGCAAACCAAUCACGCUAACCUCGCUCCGGAAUCGAAGUCUGACUCUGUACCACGCAUGGAUUUAAUUGGGAGAGAGGUCUUUUAGAGACACUCUGGGUGGGUGCAUAGAUCAGUCUGGAGUUUCACAGUACGGCUUCUUCCAAGGUCAGAGCAUGUGUCCAGGGUCUUCCCCGCUUCCUGGUGGACGGGAAGGCGUCUUCGGUCCGGUGGUUGACAAAAAAUCCAAAGAGGGCGUCAGAUGUGUGCACUCUGGUGUUUGGAAUUUAAGUAAAAUCUGUAAUUUUCCUCCUGCAUUUCCUCAGAGAAAUUAGCUAUUCUAUUCACUGCAUAAAUUUUCAGGUUUUGCUAGCACGACACUCAGGGUGUUGAAUUUUUUAUGACAAAAAUGCUGUAAUAAUUGUUGAACAGAUGUAAGUGUUGGAGACUCGGCUCUGGCAGACCUCACGAAACCUCGAUUAGCAAUUUAACCCUGUCCUCCCUCCUGUCCGCACGCCGGGGAAGAGGAGUUGCAGUUUUGAAUGGCUUCACUGGGAUAUGCACAAAGGCAGAGAAAGAGUUUUCUGGAGAGCAGGGGAAGUCCUUUAACGAGCUCUUAUGCCCAGCCAGAAAAGGAAGAACUCGGUGCAGCCUAACCCUGAAAUUACCACAUUACCAAGUUGUCUAGCUGGGUGAUUAAUAAACUAAUUGACACGGGGGACACUUGUCACUGGCGAAGCAGCUCCCUAGCCAAAGCGAGGAGCAACUACAUAGCGUCUCCCGGGGAGCUGGGAAGUGACAGUCUACACCCGCUUCCGGGCUCCCCGUGACAUAGGCCAGCCGGGCCUCCAUUUACACCUCAAAGCAAAGUCACAGAGGGAUCCGCCCCUUUCCUGGCUGCCUACACAGAAAGCAGCCAUGGGAGACUUGCCGAGGACUUUGUCCACCAAGUGAUGAAAGCAUGCAAAUGCCUCCGAAUCAAAGGCCUGAGCCACGUAUGAAGUGUGAAUCUUCACACCAUGCAAGAGAAGCCACAUGUUAUUGCUCUGGUCAACAAUCCCAGCUGACCCAACCAGAUAGUGUAUCAGGCAUAUGAGUAAAGCAUUCUUAGAUUCUUCAGUCCAGCCCUUCACCAGCAGAACACCAUUCAGCAACCCUUGUCGGCAUCAUGUGGGACAGAAGAACCACCCAGCUGAGCCUUAUCCAAAUUCCUGACCACAAAAUCAUAAGCCCUGAGAGAGCAAGACCAGCCCCUUCUUUUCUUCCACCUCCUCAUCUACUCAACAUGUAUCUUCAUUCUCAAGACGAUGAGGAUGAAGACCUUUAUGAUGCUCCACUCCCAGUUAAUAAAUAGUGAUGAAAUUGAGACCUCGCAGUUAAAUGUUUAAGUCAGGAUGAACUACUUUUCCAGGGAUGGUGAAGCCGGAGCUCUGGAUGGCACUCCUGGAUCUCCUAAAUCUUGAUUCCGUGCUCUUUUCUCCCCACUUGGCUCCACUGUUUUGGCAGAGUCCCUUAAGAUGGACCUGAUUGGAUGAUGUGGAACUAGCCAUGCAGAAAGAACAGAGGGUGGGAAAACAAAUGAGGUCAGAGAGUCCUCAUAUUAGUCGGUUCUUGCACUGCUAUAAAGAACUAUCUGAGGCUGGAUAAUUUAUGAAGAAAAGAGGUUUACUUGACUCACGGUUCCACAGGCUGUACAGGAGGCAUAGCUGGGGAGUCCUCAGGAAACUUAACAAUCAUAGCAGAAGACAAAAAAGAAGUAAGCAUGUCUUCACAUAGCCAGCAAGAGAGAGAGACAGAGACCAAAGCAGGAGGUGCUAUACACUUUAAAACAACCAGAUCUCAUGAGAACUCUUUCAGGAGAACAGCAAGGGGAAAGUUUGCCUCCAUGAUUCAAUCACCUCCCACCAGGCCUUUCCUCUAAUACUGGGAAUUACAAUUGAACAUGAGAUUUGAGUGAGGACAAAGAGCCAACCAUAUCAGUCCUCUUCAGUUGUUGGUACCUAUGUGGGGAGAAGGAGCUGUGUAGAGUGGGUGUGACUAAGUCGGUCAGAACUGGGAAGCAUGGCAGACUAGGCUGUCCUGCAACCGGAGGGUGGUUUCAGAAUCCAGAGCCUGGGAUAGCAUUCCCUGGACCCUCAGUCCAUACCUGCUAUCUACAGGCAGCUAGAGAAAACGUAAGAAUCAGCAUCGGUCACAGGUGACAUUGGGGCAGGGCACUGAGCUCCCUGCUCUCCACUGCGGCUGCAGUCUUUAAACUCCUUAUUCUAUCCAGCACAGACAGUUUGCAGACGAAGGUUUCUGCACCGGCAUCUCUGCUCAGAAGAGAUUUGCUGAUGUAACAAUUAUUUGCACUAUUUAUAUUCAAAUGUUCUUUUAAAAAAAUGCAGCCUCUAAAUUUACGGAUAGUAACUGUGUGCAAAUCAGGAAACUUAUCUCCUUUUUAUAGUCUAAAAUCAAAUUACACUUUACAUUUUUCUCACUUGCAGAAUAUUAGAUUGUGAUGCCUAAAUGACUUGUGUUUAUGAAAAAGGUGAAUUUUAAGAACAAAUUUUAAAACUGCAUAAGCAGUUUAAUGGGUGUUUUUAGAAAGUGAGAAUGAUCAGCUGGUAAGCAUUUAUUAUAUAUUAAACUGGAAGUUAUAUCGUCGCAUCCGUUAGCACUGAAUUCUGAAAAUCAUCAUGGCCCAGGUUUGUGUUUAUGAAAUGAUGGACCACAGGACUGUUAAAUAAAGUUGUAAAAAAAAAGUUGGUCGAUGUCCCUGUUUUUUCACUAGUUUUCUGACCUGUAAUCUGAGAUCUGAUUGAGUUCUCAAUAUCCUGCAAGUCACAGAUUCUAUCCCCAUUUAUGCACACGAUUGUAGUUGUCUCAUGGUUUUCAGUGUUCUUAAUGAGCUGUUAACAAGCUGUCAAUUACCUAUGCAAAUUAGGGAGGCCAACAUUGAGGGGUGGCUGUAUCUGCAGUUAAAGAGUGCUACCUUGGAAUGUUAUGAAAUCAAUCAUUCUUGCUUUAAUAGCUAUCUUUACUCAUGUGUCUCUUGUCAUGUCUGGGUCUUUUUUCAUUAUAAUACCUACCGCAUAAGAAAAGCCCUCUGGGAAUUUUGAAGGUGCUUAGAAAGGAGCUUACCCAAAUCUUUCAUAACUUUUAACUUGGCUUAAAGAUUGCCUAAAAUGCAGGCUUACUUUUUCACCUGUCUUUCCAG
This 5824-nucleotide long non-coding RNA is filed under the name Homo sapiens (human). RNAcentral's name for it is "HSALNT0215434". The record is from RNAcentral. Lineage: Eukaryota; Metazoa; Chordata; Mammalia; Primates; Hominidae.